This 216-nucleotide unclassified non-coding RNA is filed under the name Hevea brasiliensis (rubber tree). The record is from RNAcentral. Lineage: Eukaryota; Viridiplantae; Streptophyta; Magnoliopsida; Malpighiales; Euphorbiaceae.
UGACUAUUAUGAACAGCUUGAUGAGAUAUGUUAAUUGAUGGAUUUAUAAGGUGGUCCUAAUUAUGCUCCUUGUAGUUUAUUUGAUGAGUCAAAAUAUACGAAUAAUCUUACAAUAUACAAAGAAAACACUUGAAGAACGUAAGAAUGAAUACCAUGUUCGAAAAACUCAUCUACAAGUUAAAGAUAAAGGACUUGAAGAGUUUAAAGCAUGGAAAG